This 98-nucleotide Y RNA is filed under the name Microcebus murinus (gray mouse lemur). RNAcentral's name for it is "Y RNA (ENSMICG00000045133.1)". It matches the Rfam family "Y RNA". Rfam says of the family: Y RNAs are components of the Ro ribonucleoprotein particle (Ro RNP), in association with Ro60 and La proteins. The record is from Rfam by way of RNAcentral. Lineage: Eukaryota; Metazoa; Chordata; Mammalia; Primates; Cheirogaleidae.
GGCGGGCCGAGGGCAGUGGUGUUUACAACUAACGAUCACAACCAGUUACAGUCCUUCGUUCCUUCUCCACUCCCACUGCUCCACUUGACCAGCCUAAA